GUAGGUGGCAAGCGUUGUCCGGGAAUUAUUGGGGCGUAAAGCGCGCGCAGGCGGUUCUUUAAGUCUGAUGUGAAAGCCCACGGGCUCAACCGUGGAGGGUCAUUGAAAACUGGAGAACUUGAGUACAGAAGAGGAAAGCGGAAUUCCACGUGUAGCGGUGAAAUGCGUAGAGAUGUGGAGGAACACCAGUGGCGAAGGCGGCUUUCUGGUCUGUAACUGACGCUGAGGCGCGAAAGCGUGGGGAGCAAACAGGAUUAGAUACCCUGGUAGUCCACGCCGUAAACGAUGAGUGCUAAGUGUUAGGGGGUUUCCGCCCCUUAGUGCUGCAGCUAACGCAUUAAGCACUCCGCCUGGGGAGUACGGCCGCAAAGGCUG
Molecule: ribosomal RNA, 375 nt
Filed under: uncultured organism
Description: partial 16S ribosomal RNA
Rfam family: Bacterial small subunit ribosomal RNA
Source: RNAcentral